CAUUAAGAAGCCAACGCGGUGCGGCGCCGGCCUUUUAAGCCGGAGUUUGGUGUCCAUCCCCCCACCCUUAGUGA
RNAcentral lists this transfer RNA (74 nucleotides) under Typhlonectes natans (Rio Cauca caecilian). Its description in RNAcentral is "tRNA-Lys". Lineage: Eukaryota; Metazoa; Chordata; Amphibia; Gymnophiona; Typhlonectidae. The record is from RNAcentral.